Long non-coding RNA from Lates calcarifer (barramundi perch), 1891 nucleotides. RefSeq lists it as uncharacterized. The record is from RefSeq and is a predicted model, not a curated record. The transcript has 2 exons. NCBI's taxonomy places the organism in Eukaryota, Metazoa, Chordata, Actinopteri, Centropomidae.
AUGAAAUGUAAAUUAUGUAAAAAAACAAAUUAAGUAUUUAAUUCAAAAUAUGUAUUGACAAGUUGUCUGAAACAAAAAAGUUGAGAGCUGAACCUAAACCUCACCAAAUUAAUCUGCAGUAUCCUACUUAUUUUGUUAACAUAUUGUCUUUCAUAUGUAUUUCAGUUGAGCUCUUAUACUGUGUAUCUUGAAAUAUGAGUUAUUGCUAGUCUGAAGUAAUUUUUGGCAUUAGUAUGGAGAAAUGUAUAUUUUCGGUAAGAUGUUGAAAUUUCCUCUGAUUUAAGUCGAUCUUGAACUUCUCAGGCCCGUUUUCUGUUUGCGUAUUGGGCAGCCAGGUGUCUAUCAGUCAUUAUCAGCCAAUCAGUGCCAAUUUGGGACGAAUAUUGGACCCUUCCGAGUUCUCAAAAUGGUGGAACUCAGCUCGAGUAACAUACCCUACCAAAACGACAUGGGUGAAAAGGAAACGAUGUGAGCUGCUGUUUGGAAGUUCAUUUAACUCUGUUAAAUCACUAUAUUUCAAGUUCAGAGUCUAUAGUUUUAUAAGAGUGUGUACCCUACCAAAACGGGAAAAUUAACUGAAUUUGAGCGGUCAGACAUGUUGCUAAAUUAGCACAAACAUCGACUGUUUCUAGCUAACCAGCCGUCGCCUUCGCUCGACCGGAAGACAAGUGUGGAUCCUGAAAACUGUAAUAAUAUGGACAUUUGUGGUUAACAAACAGGAAGAAUAUCGGACACUGGCACACAUGCUGCUGCAGGUGCAGGUGCUCAGGGCAUGCCGUUGCCAGAGAAAUCUGUUUUUAGCACGUGGACCUAGCCUCUGGACGUUUUUUUUUUUUCCCAUUGCUGAGCUAACCGGUGGACAGGAUUUGAACUGAUUGUUACUAGCAGCUUUCUGCCGUCUCCAUGGAACAGCAAAAAUGACUUGCUGCCGCACAACAUCAGAGGCCUAUCUGUGCUGUCACAACCAAAUAUUAUAUCCUCUCUGCUGAGGACUUCUGUGAUAAAAGAGUCUACACGCUCCUCUCUCUACUGAUGUGAUGAGAUCCAGUAGUGACUGGGGAGAAGCCUGCAGCUCAGAGCGAAUGUUUCCUGGAGAACGGCAUCAGAUCAGCCGGAGGGAUGAACCCUGGAGAGGGAUCAGACCGAGACGACUAGACAGAGCACACUCAACUCAGCAGGGAAAAACUCUGUGAGUUUGACUGAGCUUCCAGACAGGAUGAGAUAUAUAUGGCAGGGAGAAAAAGAGGCAAGACAAUGCUGUUCAGUCACACUGAAGUUUAUUUUGAAGAGCACUUCACAGUGGUAAUACUGUCGCGAGCACCAUAUCUAAAUAUGAAGUUAAUUUAAUAAACAUGAACCACCAUAUACUGUAGCUGAGGGUUUUUGAUAAAUACUCAAAGAUAUAAAAAUGAGCAGUGGUCAAACUGUUGCUGCUAAUACUAAGGAGAAGAGAUGUCUGUGAGUUUGAAUCAGUAACGAUAUUGAAUGUGAAUGGGUACAUUGCAGUCAUUAAACUCUAGUUGAGAAAAAGUCAUGAGCUUAUAAGAGCAAGGAGUGGCUGUGCUUAAAAUGCAGCAUGGCUGUUUUAACAUAUGCCUGUGAUUCUGUAUAACUCAUGAAAACCUAUACAGUGCUACUGUAUCAUAUACUAUCGUAAUAUUUACAAAUUCCAAAGUGAUUACAUAAAGAAAGACUGACUGUUUUCUCUGUUGACUUUAUUAAUAAUAUAGAGCAGAACAAUUGGUGUAAUUGUACAGUCUUCGAUCUAUGACAUAAUACAACAAGAUGGGAUGCUUGGAAGAUAAAUUUCUGUGGUGUCUUUGUGAUUACUUUUCUGUGCAUACCAAUGUUGUAAAUGUCUGUAAUUGUAGUAACCCUAUGUUAGCAGUGA